Molecule: ribosomal RNA, 253 nt
Filed under: uncultured bacterium
Lineage: Bacteria
Description: partial 16S ribosomal RNA
Rfam family: Bacterial small subunit ribosomal RNA
Source: RNAcentral
UACGAAGGGGGCUAGCGUUGUUCGGAAUCACUGGGCGUAAAGGGCGCGUAGGCGGCUUUAUAAGUCGGGGGUGAAAGCCUGUGGCUCAACCACAGAAUUGCCUUCGAUACUGUAGAGUUUGAGACCGGAAGAGGUAAGUGGAACUGCGAGUGUAGAGGUGAAAUUCGUAGAUAUUCGCAAGAACACCAGUGGCGAAGGCGGCUUACUGGUCCGGUUCUGACGCUGAGGCGCGAAAGCGUGGGGAGCAAACAGG